UCCGCCUCUAGGUCCCCCAUCUCCAUCCCCAUUUCCUCCAACAUAUCCACCUCCAGGCCCUCCACCAUAUCUGUCUCUGCUUCCAGGUCCUCCACCAUAUCCAUCACCAGGUCCUACGCCAUAUCCGCCACCAGGUCCUCCGCCAUAUCCGCCUCCAGGUCCUCCACCAAAUCCACCUCCAGGUCCUCCACAAAAUCCUACACUAGGUCCACCAAAGCCACCACCAGGUCCUCCGCCAAAGCCGCCACCAGGUCCUCCACCAUAUCCCCCACCAGGUCCUCCACCAAACCCACCACCAGGUGCUCCACCGAACCCACCUUCUCCAGGUCCUCCGCCAAAUCCACCACGAACUGCUCCACCAAACCCACCACCAGAUGCUCCACCAUCUCCACCUCCAGGUCCACCAUAUCCGAC
RNAcentral lists this long non-coding RNA (414 nucleotides) under Olea europaea (common olive). Its description in RNAcentral is "long non-coding RNA (OEUR_LNC009747)". The record is from RNAcentral. Lineage: Eukaryota; Viridiplantae; Streptophyta; Magnoliopsida; Lamiales; Oleaceae.